Molecule: long non-coding RNA, 148 nt
Organism: Xiphophorus hellerii (green swordtail)
Lineage: Eukaryota; Metazoa; Chordata; Actinopteri; Cyprinodontiformes; Poeciliidae
Exons: 3
Source: RefSeq, a predicted model, not a curated record
AAUGAUAAAGUAUUUUUAACUUUUCUUACUUCUUCCUACUCCUUUUCGAUCAUGUUAAGAUUAUUGUAGUACAAAAAUAUGAGUCCUUUGCAUUCCUUGUUCACGUGAGUUUAUACUUCUAUCAUGUUCAAAUUAAACAAAUAAAAAA